This 424-nucleotide ribosomal RNA is filed under the name uncultured prokaryote. Its description in RNAcentral is "bacterial SSU rRNA". It matches the Rfam family "Bacterial small subunit ribosomal RNA", at positions 355 to 796 of the family's 1533-position model. The record is from RNAcentral.
UGGGGAAUAUUGGACAAUGGGGGCAACCCUGAUCCAGCCAUGCCGCGUGAGUGAAGAAGGCCUUAGGGUUGUAAAGCUCUUUCAGUCGUGACGAUGAUGACGGUAGCGACAGAAGAAGCCCCGGCUAACUCCGUGCCAGCAGCCGCGGUAAUACGGAGGGGGCAAGCGUUGUUCGGAUUUACUGGGCGUAAAGGGCGCGUAGGCGGGGUAUCAAGUUAGGGGUGAAAGCCCGGGGCUCAACCUCGGAACUGCCUUUAAAACUGAUACUCUAGAGUCCGGAAGAGGGUCGCGGAAUUCCCAGUGUAGAGGUGAAAUUCGUAGAUAUUGGGAAGAACACCAGUGGCGAAGGCGCUCUACUGGGCCGAGACUGACGCUGAUGGACGAAAGCUAGGGGAGCGAAAGGGAUUAGAUACCCCGGUAGUCC